Long non-coding RNA from Dioscorea cayenensis subsp. rotundata (Guinea yam), 3161 nucleotides. RefSeq lists it as uncharacterized. The transcript has 9 exons. The record is from RefSeq and is a predicted model, not a curated record. Lineage: Eukaryota; Viridiplantae; Streptophyta; Magnoliopsida; Dioscoreales; Dioscoreaceae.
UUAAUGGUUCUCCCUCACAAAAACGAUAACAUUGAGGUCUCUGCUUCACCACCAACGCCACCUUCAUCUCUUCUAAGCGCGUCACCGUCGACAUCACCUUCAUCUCCAUCUCUGCUUCGAGAUCAUUGAGGUCUCUACCAAGCACGUCAAUGUCCAUCUCAAGAUCAUUGACUCCUACUGCCCGGUUCAACGAAAACCAAUGAUGGUUUCGAUUUAGGGUUCUAAUUUCAAUCAAUUUGUGAUGAUUUUCUUCUUUGGGUUGUAGCUAUUGAAGGUCUUACACUACAAUGUGUUAGUGUUGUUCUCAAAGGCUCUGGCCAACAUCAGGGCACAAAUUUGUUCGGGGUUUUGACAUAACAGUGACGAUCACCGGAAUCCAGCUAAAGCCAUGCCGGUUCACCCUAGAAAGACUAUCCAGCUUGAAUAUGUAUGAUACGAGGUUGUAAGUGUUUCUGAAGGUAAUGCAGAUUAUAUCUUGCUAUUUUUUUUUAAUUUAUGGGAUUGAACAGUUGAGGUGAGAGGAGGAAACGAUUCUUCAGUAAUUGAGGUAGAUGAUUUGUAGGGCUCUGUUAUUGGUGGUCAUUGUCUAGACUAUGGAGAUGCUGUUGGUAUGACUGGAUUAGUAGAUGCGUAAGAAAUAUUCAGACUUCUUUUUAUAUAGUUAUGUAAAACUAAUUUAUUGUGCUUGUAUAAUUCUUUGAAACUUUUGAUUCUUUUUCUUUCAUAUGUUUGAACUAGUUGUUGUUCGUCCAGAAACUAAAGAGAGUGAACUAAUAGUAAUGACAUGAUUGUGAAGUUAUAUGCUUGAGAAAAGUAUCAUCUAAAAAAUUAUUUGAUUAAGGUUAUUUAAAACUGUUUAGUGUUGCAUUGUUAGUGAUUUGUUUGAAGAUGGUUCAAAGUGUUGAUGAUAUUGUUUGCAGGUUUUGUGUAGCAGAUAAUCUGAAAAAACUUUAUGUGGAAUAACUUGGUAAUAGUUUCAUCAUGUUUUUAUAUGUUUAGGAAAGUUAUCUAUUUGUGAUGAUAGUGAUCCUACAUUCUUGUGAUUGUUGACCUGGUUGGCUUGUAAUUUUGAUAUUGAAGGAUGGAUUUGUCGGUGAUGCUUUAUUUUGUAACAAAUGCGGAGAGACUAUUUUCUUCAUAGUUUAGUUUUCUUCUUACUCUUUAAUAGCUAGCAUCUUUUCAUAUCUUGAUUUAAAGUAUCAGGAUAGGAUAUAAUUGCAAGCAUAUGGUGUAUUACUCUGUGUGGCUUAACUUUUUAAAUUGCAAGGGAGGUAUAAAUUUUAUUUGAAAGUGUGAUAAAUGGCCAAUUUUCCAUUUGAACCCUUGUUUUGUUUUUGGUAAUACAUGAAAUAAGGGAUAGUGCUGAUGUUGUUAUAGCUGUUGGUGGUGAUGGUACUCUUCAUGAGGUAAUUGCAUUAAGCUUAAAGAAAGGAACUUGUGUGUUUUUGGGACUUAAAUCAUUUAAUAUUUCUUGAAACAAAAUUUGUUUAAUCUUUCACAAAUGAGAAGCAUGCUACCAUAGCAGCUUAAUAUUUAAUGUGCGGCUCGGAUAAGAGUGAUGUAUUCAUGUGCCUGGAGAAGCAGUAUUGCAGGAUUAUGGGACAAUACAAGUAGAAGUUUCUGAUAGAAAUGGACAUGGGGGAAUGAGAAUGUCCUAGUUAGCUAGUUUUCUUUUUGUAAAGAUCAGAUGGCAUAAUUAUUUUGAAGGUAGUUGCUCUUAAUGAACAUCAAAGCCUGCCCCUCUUGUAUUUAUUGUGGAGAAGUAUGCUAGAAAGUAGAAACUGUUCUUGUUGAGAAAUAAUUGAGAUGGAACUGACUCGUCAAUUUUCUUUCAAUAUUCUCAGUUAAUAGUUUUAAUUGAUAAAGAUAACAGUUAAGCUUUUUAUUGGUUGGUUUCAACAUGGAAGUUCUGUGUUGAAUCUAGGUUAGAUGGCAGUGGCCUGGUUAAUUUUUGUAGAUGGCUCUGCAGUUCUUGCUCAAAGGUAUAUAAGAAACUAGGGAAUAUUCGAUUCAUAUGAAUAUAGUUCAGUGAUGCUUUAUGUUUAAAUUGCAUAUUAUCUACAGCAAACUGUCCAAUGCAGUAUAUGUUCAAUCAGUUCAUUUGCGCAAUUUGCAGGAUUGAGAUGAAACCCGGUGAAGGAACAUUCAUAAAUAAUGUUGGUUCAUCAAAGAAGAAAAGAUUUCAUCCUUGGAAUGAACUUUUGCUUUUCAUAGAUUGUAAAAUAAAGCCUUCUCUAAAAAUGCAACUUAUAUCUGCAGGUUUUGCAGGAAGACUUUACUAAAUGUCGCAUCCAUUCACGACUGAGUUCCUUUAUAGAGAGCAAGAAUUCCACAGGACAUGAGUUCUAGGGUGCAAAGGUUGAUGCAGCUGUUGUUAGAUUUAAACUUAAGUUAAUUUCAGAUUAUCCACCAGUAAUAUCCGCCAAAAGCUUCUUUUCAAUGUUCUUCUCAACAACCCACAGAUUUUUGAUAGAAUUUUUGGUGAUGAAUUCAUUUUGGAUAUUCUUGGUUCUCUUGAAUAUGAUCCUUACAUACCUCCAGUGCAAAAUCAUCGGUCUUUCUUGAAGGAGUAUGUGAUUUAUAAGGAGGCAAUCACUAUUAAAGAUCCUUUGGUAUUGUCAAAGAUUCAUCAAACCUAUUGAAUUGGUUAUAUAAAGGAUGUUAUUUUGCCAGGAGUAUUGGAUGAGGUAACUAUUGCAAGUCCCAGUGCCAUCAUUUAAGCAAAUAAUGCUACUGUUGUUUUGUUGCUAAAAGAUGAUAUUUCCUUUAUUCAAGAAUUAUUUGCAAGGAUGAAAUCGCCCUCCAUAUCUGAUGAAUCAAAGAGGAACUUGGACAAAUGGGCUAAGAACUUGUACCUUGCAUCAAUGUGCUAUGGUCGUACUAUAUCUUGAUAUAUAUUUAAUUGGCUAAAACCUUCAUCAAGGUCUGACAGUAGGGUUUCUCCUGCUACUUCUCAAGUACUUGUACACGGAGCCAUGCUUGAAAAACUGGGAAUGGAAAGCUAGAGGCAGGCCGUUCUAAUCUUAUUUAAUGCCAUGCUUUGUAUAUUUUGGGUCUGCUUUAUGUUGACAAAAUACUUUGAAUUACCAUCAUAUAUCUAGUUCUGGUGGCCUGCCAAAUUAAAGAAAAACUCACCUUAUACUGGUUAUUUUUUUGCUUUA